CCAAUAGCGUAUAUUAAAGUUGUUGCAGUUAAAAAGCUCGUAGUUGAAUUUCAGGCCUGGCUGGACGGUCCGCCCUUCGGGUGAGUACUGUCUGUGGUCGGGUCCUACCUUCUGGCGAAGCGUCAUGGCCUUAACCGGCCGUGGCGGGGAACCAGGACUUUUACUGUGAAAAAAUUAGAGUGUUCAAAGCAGGCAAUCGCUUGGAUACAUUAGCAUGGAAUAAUGGAAUAGGACAAUGGUUCUAUUUGUUGGUUUCUAGGACCGUUGUAAUGAUUAAUAGGGAUAGUUGGGGGCAUUAGUAUUCAAUUGUCAGAGGUGAAAUUCUUGGAUUUAUUGAAGACUAACUAUUGCGAAAGCAUUUGCCAAGGAUGUUUUCAUUAAUCAAGAACGAAAGUUAGGGGAUCGAAGACGAUCAGAUACCGUCGUAGUCUUAACCAUAAACUAUGCCGACUAGGAAUCGGGCGACGUUAUUUUCAUGACUCGCUCGGCGCCUUAUG
RNAcentral lists this ribosomal RNA (497 nucleotides) under uncultured Glomeromycotina. RNAcentral describes it as "partial small subunit ribosomal RNA". It matches the Rfam family "Eukaryotic small subunit ribosomal RNA", at positions 591 to 1092 of the family's 1831-position model. The record is from RNAcentral. Lineage: Eukaryota; Fungi; Glomeromycota.